AUUGAACGCUGGCGGCAUGCUUUACACAUGCAAGUCGAACGGUAGAGGGGGCAACCCCUUGAGAGUGGCGAACGGGUGAGUAAUGCAUCGGAACGUGCCCAGUCGUGGGGGAUAACUACUCGAAAGAGUGGCUAAUACCGCAUACGACCUGAGGGUGAAAGCGGGGGACCGAAAGGCCUCGCGCGAUUGGAGCGGCCGAUGUCAGAUUAGGUAGUUGGUGGGGUAAAGGCCUACCAAGCCUGCGAUCGGUAACUGGUCUGAGAGGACGACCAGUCACACUGGGACUGAGACACGGCCCAGACUCCUACGGGAGGCAGCAGUGGGGAAUUUUGGACAAUGGGGGAAACCCUGAUCCAGCAAUGCCGCGUGUGUGACGAAGGCCUUCGGGUUGUAAACUGCUUUUGUACGGAACGAAACGGCGAGCUCUAAUACAGUUUGCUAAUGACGGUACCGUAAGAAUAAGCACCGGCUAACUACGUG
Molecule: ribosomal RNA, 480 nt
Filed under: uncultured bacterium
Lineage: Bacteria
Description: bacterial SSU rRNA
Rfam family: Bacterial small subunit ribosomal RNA
Source: RNAcentral